CCCUUAGAUGUUCUGGGCCGCACGCACGCUACACUGGUGCAUUCAACGAGUCUAAAACCUGCUCUGAUAGGGGUGGGUAAUCUUUUGAAUGUGCAUCGUGAUUGGGAUAGAUGAUUGCAAUUUUUCAUCUUCAACGAGGAAUGCCUAGUAAACGCAAGUCAUCAGCUUGCAUUGAUUACGUCCCUGCCCUUUGUACACACCGCCCGUCGCUCCUACCGAUUGAAUGAUCCGAUGAAUAUCAUGGAUUGAGGAUGCAAGUAGGUUCGCCUAUCUUCAUCUUCGAGAAGUGAAGUAAAUCUUAUCAUUUAGAGGAAGGAGAAGUCGUAACA
RNAcentral lists this ribosomal RNA (329 nucleotides) under uncultured eukaryote. Its description in RNAcentral is "partial 18S ribosomal RNA". It matches the Rfam family "Eukaryotic small subunit ribosomal RNA", at positions 1470 to 1796 of the family's 1831-position model. The record is from RNAcentral.